This 57-nucleotide transfer RNA is filed under the name Camelus bactrianus (Bactrian camel). It matches the Rfam family "tRNA", at positions 8 to 63 of the family's 71-position model. From Rfam's summary of the family: Transfer RNA (tRNA) molecules are approximately 80 nucleotides in length. Their secondary structure includes four short double-helical elements and three loops (D, anti-codon, and T loops). RNAcentral also lists the same sequence under 2 other names. Lineage: Eukaryota; Metazoa; Chordata; Mammalia; Artiodactyla; Camelidae. The record is from Rfam by way of RNAcentral.
UAGCUCAGUGGUAGAGCAUGUGCUUAGCAUGCAUAAGGUCCUGGGUUCCACUCUCAG